RNAcentral lists this ribosomal RNA (305 nucleotides) under uncultured bacterium. RNAcentral's name for it is "bacterial SSU rRNA". It matches the Rfam family "Bacterial small subunit ribosomal RNA", at positions 338 to 658 of the family's 1533-position model. The record is from RNAcentral.
CCUACGGGGCGCAGCAGUGGGGAAUAUUGGGCAAUGGGCGCAAGCCUGACCCAGCAACGCCGCGUGAAGGAAGAAGGCUUUCGGGUUGUAAACUUCUUUUCUCAGGGACGAAGAAAGUGACGGUACCUGAGGAAUAAGCCACGGCUAACUACGUGCCAGCAGCCGCGGUAAUACGUAGGAUGCGAGCGUUAUCCGGAUUUAUUGGGUUUAAAGGGUGCGUAGGCGGAAUGCCAAGUCAGCGGUAAAAUCGCGGGGCUCAACCUCGCUCCGCCGUUGAAACUGGCGUUCUUGAGUGGGCGAGAAGG